AACGAACGCUGGCGGCAUGCCUAACACAUGCAAGUCGAACGGGAUCCUAGCUUGCUAGGUGAGAGUGGCGGACGGGUGAGUAACACGUGGGAAUCUGCCUUUUGGUUCGGGAUAACCGCGGGAAACUGCGGCUAAUACCGAAUGCCCUCGAGAGAGGAAAGAUUUAUCGCCAGAAGAGGAGCCCGCGUCCGAUUAGGUAGUUGGUGGGGGUAAAGCCUACCAAGCCGACGAUCGGUAGCUGGUCUGAGAGGAUGAUCAGCCACACUGGGACUGAGAUACGGCCCAGACUCCUACGGGAGGCAGCAGUGGGGAAUAUUGGACAAUGGGGGCAACCCUGAUCCAGCAAUGCCGCGUGAGUGAUGAAGGCCUUAGGGUUGUAAAGCUCUUUUUGCCAGGGAAGAUGAUGACUGUACCUGGAGAAUAAGCCCCGGCUAACUUCGUGCCAGCAG
Molecule: ribosomal RNA, 449 nt
Filed under: uncultured bacterium
Lineage: Bacteria
Description: bacterial SSU rRNA
Rfam family: Bacterial small subunit ribosomal RNA
Source: RNAcentral